UAAGCCUGUGAAGGUGUGUCGUGAGGCAUGCUGGAGGUAUCAGAAGUGCGAAUGCUGACAUAAGUAACGAUAAAGCGGGUGAAAAGCCCGCUCGCCGGAAGACCAAGGGUUCCUGUCCAACGUUAAUCGGGGCAGGGUGAGUCGACCCCUAAGGCGAGGCCGAAAGGCGUAGUCGAUGGGAAACGGGUUAAUAUUCCCGUACUUGGUGUUACUGCGAAGGGGGGACGGAGAAGGCUAUGUUGGCCGGGCGACGGUUGUCCCGGUUUAAGCGUGUAGGUGUGUGUUCCAGGUAAAUCCGGUUCACUUUAACACUGAGGCGUGACGACGAGGCACUACGGUGCUGAAGCAACAAAUGCCCUGCUUCCAGGAAAAGCCUCUAAGCAUCAGGUAACAUCAAAUCGUACCCCAAACCGACACAGGUGGUCAGGUAGAGAAUACCAAGGCGCUUGAGAGAACUCGGGUGAAGGAACUAGGCAAAAUGGUGCCGUAACUUCGGGAGAAGGCACGCUGACACGUAGGUGAAGUGAUUUACUCAUGGAGCUGAAGUCAGUCGAAGAUACCAGCUGGCUGCAACUGUUUAUUAAAAACACAGCACUGUGCAAACACGAAAGUGGACGUAUACGGUGUGACGCCUGCCCGGUGCCGGAAGGUUAAUUGAUGGGGUCAGCGCAAGCGAAGCUCCUGAUCGAAGCCCCGGUAAACGGCGGCCGUAACUAUAACGGUCCUAAGGUAGCGAAAUUCCUUGUCGGGUAAGUUCCGACCUGCACGAAUGGCGUAAUGAUGGCCAGGCUGUCUCCACCCGAGACUCAGUGAAAUUGAACUCGCUGUGAAGAUGCAGUGUACCCGCGGCAAGACGGAAAGACCCCGUGAACCUUUACUAUAGCUUGACACUGAACAUUGAGCCUUGAUGUGUAGGAUAGGUGGGAGGCUUUGAAGUGUGGACGCCAGUCUGCAUGGAGCCGACCUUGAAAUACCACCCUUUAAUGUUUGAUGUUCUAACGUGGACCCGUGAUCCGGGUUGCGGACAGUGUCUGGUGGGUAGUUUGACUGGGGCGGUCUCCUCCUAAAGAGUAACGGAGGAGCACGAAGGUUGGCUAAUCCUGGUCGGACAUCAGGAGGUUAGUGCAAUGGCAUAAGCCAGCUUGACUGCGAGCGUGACGGCGCGAGCAGGUGCGAAAGCAGGUCAUAGUGAUCCGGUGGUUCUGAAUGGAAGGGCCAUCGCUCAACGGAUAAAAGGUACUCCGGGGAUAACAGGCUGAUACCGCCCAA
RNAcentral lists this ribosomal RNA (1269 nucleotides) under Salmonella enterica. Its description in RNAcentral is "partial 23S ribosomal RNA". It matches the Rfam family "Bacterial large subunit ribosomal RNA", at positions 1243 to 2495 of the family's 2925-position model. The record is from RNAcentral. Lineage: Bacteria; Pseudomonadati; Pseudomonadota; Gammaproteobacteria; Enterobacterales; Enterobacteriaceae.